AAACCAGCACCUCAAGUGGUCAGGAUGAUUAUGGGGCCUAAAGCAUCCGUAGCCUGCUCUGUAAGUGUUCGGUUAAAUCUGUACGCUCAACGUACAGGCUGCCGGGAAUACUGCAGGGCUAGGGAGUGGGAGAGGUAGACGGUACUCGGGAGGAAGGGGUAAAAUCCUUUGAUCUCUCGAUGACCACCUGUGGCGAAGGCGGUCUACCAGAACAUGUCCGACGGUGAGGGAUGAAAGCUGGGGGAGCAAACCGGAUUAGAAACCCCUGUAGUCC
This 274-nucleotide ribosomal RNA is filed under the name uncultured bacterium. RNAcentral describes it as "partial 16S ribosomal RNA". It matches the Rfam family "Archaeal small subunit ribosomal RNA", at positions 473 to 747 of the family's 1478-position model. The record is from RNAcentral.